AUUGAACGCUGGCGGCAGGCCUAAUACAUGCAAGUCGAGCGGAGCGGCGGACGGGUGAGUAAUUCCUAGGAAUCUGCCUGGUCGUGUGGGAUAACGUACGGAAACGGGCGCUAAUACCGCAUACUAUCAGAUGAGCCUAGGUCGGAUUAGCUAGUUGGUGGGGUAAAGGCCUACCAAGGCGAUGAUCCGGAACUGGUCUGAGCGGAUGAUCAGUCACACUGGAACUGGGACACGGCCAGAACUCCUACGGGAGGAAGAGGUGGGGAAUAUUGGACAUGGGGGGAAGGCCGGAUCAAGCCAUGCCGGGUGUGUGAAGAAGGUCUUGGGAUUGUAAAGCAUUUUAAGUUGGGAGGCGUUACCAACAGAAUAAGCGCCGGCUAACUUCGUGCCAGCAGCCGCGGUAAUUC
RNAcentral lists this ribosomal RNA (407 nucleotides) under uncultured bacterium. RNAcentral describes it as "partial 16S ribosomal RNA". It matches the Rfam family "Bacterial small subunit ribosomal RNA", at positions 30 to 526 of the family's 1533-position model. The record is from RNAcentral.